CAAUCUCGAAUUUUCAUCACAUUCGUGUUCAUAGUCUGUUCAGAGUUUUGAGAUGAUUCCGAACUCCAUAGCCAUGGCAGCACCAGUUCUCUUCCUACAUCCAUGUUCAACUUCUAUCUCUCUCGGUUGUCAUCAUUCUCUUUCUCAUACAAGGACAAGGCCUUUUUCAUUUCACAUCAGAGCCUCCUCCGCGCUCACCUCUUCCACUUUCUCACCUGGACUGCGACUAUCUCCUCAAAGCCACCAACAACAAUUCAUUGACGAAGAUGAUGAAAUAGUAAUCGGAGACUGUGUUGUCUUCGGAGAAGGCGUGUUUGAAGAUCCUUAUCUUGAGGAGACACUCAAUUCACAUUCUGAAGAUACUAAAACAGGUAAUGUAAAAAACACUGAAGUUAAGCCUGAGAACUUGAUACCUGAAAAGUGGAAAGAGAUUCAGGAAGAGAUUAAUCAAACUAAGAAGGACCGACGAAAGUUAGCUCAAGAAUUAGAAUUCGGUAUUCGAGUUGAGAAGAACCGGAAAGCGUCGCAACCGUUAAGGAAGGCGACUGAGGAGGAAUAUCGAGAUUAUAAGAAAGAGAAAUUGUCUCAGUUGAAACCGAUUGUUCUUGACACUCCUACCUUUCCGGAACAGAGUGAGGAAGAAGAUGACGAAGUCGGAGGCGUAGAGAGAGACGUCCGUCCACCGGAUGGCGGCAGAGUGGUACCGCGGAACCCUAGGUGGGCUGUCUAUGGCGGCAGUUUGGAUGAUAUUUCAGAUUUCUUCAACAGUGAGGAUUAUGAUCCAGAUUCUAAUGCUAAGAAUUCUGAAGGCCGGCAGAAGUUGCUGACAAAAGAUGAGAAGUUUAUACUGAAUAGACGCACUCCUAAUCUGAAGGAUGCUGCUUCUGAAAAAUGGCUGCCUCUGCACACUCUUGUAGCAUCAGGAGAAUUUUAUCUUGUUAAUACUCUGUUGAAACAUGGCGCUGACAUCAAUGUCCAGGAUAAGGAUGGAUUGACUGCACUUCAUAAAGCAACAGUGGGCAAAAAGCAGGCUAUCUUUAAUUACCUUUUGAGAGAAUCUGCCAACCCAAAUAUAAAGGAUCGGGAUGGGGCGACUUUGAUGCAUUAUGCUGUCUGGACUGCUUCAACUCAGAUGAUAAAGAUUCUUCUGUUGUAUAAUGUUGACAUAAACCUUCCUGAUAAUGAUGGCUGGACACCGUUGCAUCUGGCUGUUCAAAGUCGAAGGACAGAUAUUGUAAGACUUCUGUUAAUAAAAGGAGCUGACAAGAUGCUGAAAAACAAGGAUGGGUUAACAGCUCUUGACCUCGCCCUUUAUUCUGGUCAUAACACCAGGACCUAUGAACUCAUUAAGCUCAUAAAACAGUUGCCCAAGCCUUCAAGAGAUAUUUACAACAAAUCAUAACCAUCUCAAGAUUUCGACUGAGACAAGCUCAAAAACUGGGAUAUUAAAUGCUGAAGGUGAUCUGGUGGAACUAGACGGGAAGUUGCUUUCAGUGAGGAGCUGAUGCGAUCGAACAGUGAUCUGUAAACGAGCAAGAGUGUUCAUGCAAUUCAACGCCAAUUGAACCUGUCGCCUCACGCACAUUCCUCGAACCACGGCUUGCAGCUUCACCAGCCCUUUCAAUGCCUUGUAUGCCCUCCUUGCCUUUAAACAGAUAUAUAUGGAUAGAGUUAUAAUAUGUAGAUGAUUAGUAAGAAGUAUUCUAAAUUUUUAUUUAAAACAAGCCUUUAAUUUUUAAAACUGUUUGAGCCAUUUCUAUGUGAUAAUUUUUACAGA
Impatiens glandulifera is the source of this 1777-nucleotide RNA transcript. It is a transcript of the gene named ankyrin repeat domain-containing protein, chloroplastic, with no coding region annotated. The transcript has 8 exons. The record is from RefSeq and is a predicted model, not a curated record. NCBI's taxonomy places the organism in Eukaryota, Viridiplantae, Streptophyta, Magnoliopsida, Ericales, Balsaminaceae.